GGGGAAUCUUCCGCAAUGGACGAAAGUCUGACGGAGCAACGCCGCGUGAGUGAAGAAGGUUUUCGGAUCGUAAAGCUCUGUCUUUUGGGACGAAUGUGCUGUAGGUGAAUAAUCUGUAGCAAUGACGGUACUAAAGGAGGAAGCCACGGCUAACUACGUGCCAGCAGCCGCGGUAAUACGUAGGUGGCGAGCGUUGUCCGGAAUUAUUGGGCGUAAAGGGCGCGUAGGCGGAUCUGUAAGUCUGACUUAAAAGUGCAGGGCUCAACCCUGUGAGGGGUCAGAAACUAUAGAUCUUGAGUGCAGGAGAGGAAAGUGGAAUUCCCAGUGUAGCGGUGAAAUGCGUAGAUAUUGGGAGGAACACCAGUGGCGAAGGCGACUUUCUGGACUGUGUCUGACGCUGAGGCGCGAAAGCCAGGGGAGUGAACG
This 426-nucleotide ribosomal RNA is filed under the name uncultured Propionispora sp. RNAcentral describes it as "bacterial SSU rRNA". It matches the Rfam family "Bacterial small subunit ribosomal RNA", at positions 356 to 774 of the family's 1533-position model. Lineage: Bacteria; Bacillati; Bacillota; Negativicutes; Selenomonadales; Sporomusaceae. The record is from RNAcentral.